GUCAUUGGCAGUAAGGCAGCAACAGCAGCAGCAGCAAAAGGGCAUGAGACCUUCCUGGAAGAGGACUUAUUUUCUACCCUUUCAGAGAUGCUGCUGGAUUUAAAGAGGCGACGUCAGUGAGCAAGGAAAAGCAAAGUUCAGAUGAGUGACACCCAAACCUUCUCCAGUAUAUGAGGAUUACAUCGAACGGCUCUCCAUCUCUUGGCAAGAUUAUGUCCCUUCCUGCUUCCUCACUCUGCAAUUUUCCAUAGACAGAAGUAGCUGGAAUAUUGCAUGGUACCAUGUCUAUUCAGAAGAAACACUGUGACCUACGCAUCUGCCCCUGACCUUUAGUUGGAUCAAUAAAACUACAAAUUGGUCUUUUCUUAUCCUUGGCACUUUAGUAAUAAAAUCCCCAUCGAAAUGAAA
This is a long non-coding RNA of Podarcis raffonei (Aeolian wall lizard), 408 nucleotides long. RefSeq lists it as uncharacterized. The record is from RefSeq and is a predicted model, not a curated record. NCBI's taxonomy places the organism in Eukaryota, Metazoa, Chordata, Lepidosauria, Squamata, Lacertidae. The transcript is spliced from 2 exons.